RNAcentral lists this ribosomal RNA (253 nucleotides) under uncultured bacterium. RNAcentral's name for it is "partial 16S ribosomal RNA". It matches the Rfam family "Bacterial small subunit ribosomal RNA", at positions 524 to 776 of the family's 1533-position model. The record is from RNAcentral.
UACGAAGGGAGCUAGCGUUGUUCGGAAUCACUGGGCGUAAAGCGCACGUAGGCGGAUGUGUCAGUCAGGGGUGAAAUCCCGGAGCUCAACUUCGGAACUGCCUUUGAUACAGCACGUCUUGAGUCCGGAAGAGGUGGGUGGAAUUCCUAGUGUAGAGGUGAAAUUCGUAGAUAUUAGGAAGAACACUGGUGGCGAAGGCGGGCCACUGGUCCGGUACUGACGCUGAGGUGCGAGAGCGUGGGGAGCAAACAGG